UGCUUCUCUGAUGUUAGCGGCGGACGGGUGAGUAACACGUGGAUAACCUACCUAUAAGACUGGGAUAACUUCGGGAAACCGGAGCUAAUACCGGAUAAUAUUUUGAACCGCAUGGUUCAAAAGUGAAAGACGGUCUUGCUGUCACUUAUAGAUGGAUCCGCGCUGCAUUAGCUAGUUGGUAAGGUAACGGCUUACCAAGGCAACGAUGCAUAGCCGACCUGAGAGGGUGAUCGGCCACACUGGAACUGAGACACGGUCCAGACUCCUACGGGAGGCAGCAGUAGGGAAUCUUCCGCAAUGGGCGAAAGCCUGACGGAGCAACGCCGCGUGAGUGAUGAAGGUCUUCGGAUCGUAAAACUCUGUUAUUAGGGAAGAACAUAUGUGUAAGUAACUGUGCACAUCUUGACGGUACCUAAUCAGAAAGCCACGGCUAACUACGUGCCAGCAGCCGCGGUAAUACGUAGGUGGCAAGCGUUAUCCGGAAUUAUUGGGCGUAAAGCGCGCGUAGGCGGUUUUUUAAGUCUGAUGUGAAAGCCCACGGCUCAACCGUGGAGGGUCAUUGGAAACUGGAAAACUUGAGUGCAGAAGAGGAAAGUGGAAUUCCAUGUGUAGCGGUGAAAUGCGCAGAGAUAUGGAGGAACACCAGUGGCGAAGGCGACUUUCUGGUCUGUAACUGACGCUGAUGUGCGAAAGCGUGGGGAUCAAACAGGAUUAGAUACCCUGGUAGUCCACGCCGUAAACGAUGAGUGCUAAGUGUUAAGGGGGUUUCCGCCCCUUAGUGCUGCAGCUAACGCAUUAAGCACUCCGCCUGGGGGAGUACGACCGCAAGGUUGAAACUCAAAGGAAUUGACGGGGACCC
RNAcentral lists this ribosomal RNA (859 nucleotides) under Staphylococcus aureus. Its description in RNAcentral is "bacterial SSU rRNA". It matches the Rfam family "Bacterial small subunit ribosomal RNA", at positions 79 to 922 of the family's 1533-position model. The record is from RNAcentral. Lineage: Bacteria; Bacillati; Bacillota; Bacilli; Caryophanales; Staphylococcaceae.